GACGAACGCUGGCGGCGUGCUUAACACAUGCAAGUCGAACGGAAAGGCCCUGCUUUUGUGGGGUGCUCGAGUGGCGAACGGGUGAGUAACACGUGAGUAACCUGCCCUUGACUUUGGGAUAACUUCAGGAAACUGGGGCUAAUACCGGAUAGGAGCUCCUGCUGCAUGGUGGGGGUUGGAAAGUUUCGGCGGUUGGGGAUGGACGCGCGGCUUACCAGCUUGUUGGUGGGGUAGUGGCUUACCAAGGCUUUGACGGGUAGCCGGCCUGAGAGGGUGACCGGCCACAUUGGGACUGAGGUAGGGCCCAGACGCCUACGGGAGGCAGCAGGGGAGAAUAUUGCACAAUGGGCGGAAGCCUGAUGCAGCGACGCCGCGUGCGGGAUGACGGCCUUCGGGUGAGAAACCGCUUUCGCCUGAGACGAAGCGGGAGUGACGGUAAUGAGUAAAGAAGCACCGGCUAACUACGUG
This 468-nucleotide ribosomal RNA is filed under the name uncultured bacterium. Its description in RNAcentral is "partial 16S ribosomal RNA". It matches the Rfam family "Bacterial small subunit ribosomal RNA", at positions 28 to 507 of the family's 1533-position model. The record is from RNAcentral.